Molecule: ribosomal RNA, 440 nt
Filed under: uncultured bacterium
Lineage: Bacteria
Description: partial 16S ribosomal RNA
Rfam family: Bacterial small subunit ribosomal RNA
Source: RNAcentral
CCUACGGGCGGCAGCAGUGGGGACUAUUGCACAAUGGGGGCAACCCUGAUGCAACGACGCCGCGUGAGUGAAGAAGUAUCUCGGUACGUAAAGCUCUAUCAGCAGGGAAGAACAUGACGGUACCUGACUAAGAAGCCCCGGCUAACUACGUGCCAGCAGCCGCGGUAAUACGUAGGGGGCAAGCGUUAACCGGAUUUACUGGGUGUAAAGGGAGCGUAGACGGCAGCGCAAUUCUGGAGUGAAAUCCCGGGGCUUAACCCCGGAUCUGCUUUGGAAACUGUGCGGCUGGAGUGCAGGAGGGGUAAGCGGAAUUCAUAGUGUAGCGGUGAAAUGCGUAGAUAUUAGGAGGAACACCGGUGGCGAAGGCGGCUUACUGGACUGUAACUGACGUUGAGGCACGAAAGCGUGGGGAUCAAACAGGAUUAGAUACCCCAGUAGUC